AAGAUGACGAGUGGCGGACGGGUGAGUAAUGCUUGGGAACUUGCCUUUGCGAGGGGGAUAACAGUUGGAAACGACUGCUAAUACCGCAUAAUGUCUUCGGACCAAACGGGGCUUCGGCUCCGGCGCAAAGAGAGGCCCAAGUGAGAUUAGCUAGUUGGUAAGGUAACGGCUUACCAAGGCGACGAUCUCUAGCUGUUCUGAGAGGAAGAUCAGCCACACUGGGACUGAGACACGGCCCAGACUCCUACGGGAGGCAGCAGUGGGGAAUAUUGCACAAUGGGGGAAACCCUGAUGCAGCCAUGCCGCGUGUGUGAAGAAGGCCUUCGGGUUGUAAAGCACUUUCAGUUGUGAGGAAAAGUUAGUAGUUAAUACCUGCUAGCCGUGACGUUAACAACAGAAGAAGCACCGG
RNAcentral lists this ribosomal RNA (409 nucleotides) under uncultured Gammaproteobacteria bacterium. Its description in RNAcentral is "bacterial SSU rRNA". It matches the Rfam family "Bacterial small subunit ribosomal RNA", at positions 85 to 496 of the family's 1533-position model. The record is from RNAcentral. Lineage: Bacteria; Pseudomonadati; Pseudomonadota; Gammaproteobacteria.